ACCGGCGCACGGGUGAGUAACGCGUAUCCAACCUACCCUUCGUCCAUCGGAUAACCCGUCGAAAGGCGGCCUAACACGAUAUGCGGUUCACAGCAGGCAUCUAACGUGAACGAAAUGUGAAGGAGAAGGAUGGGGAUGCGUCUGAAUUAGCUUGUUGGCGGGGUAACGGCCCACCAAGGCGACGAUCAGUAGGGGUUCUGAGAGGAAGGUCCCCCACAUUGGAACUGAGACACGGUCCAAACUCCUACGGGAGGCAGCAGUGAGGAAUAUUGGUCAAUGGACGAGAGUCUGAACCAGCCAAGUAGCGUGCAGGAUGACGGCCCUAUGGGCUGUAAACUGCUUUUAUAGGGGGAUAAAGUGUGCCACGUGUGGCAUAUUGCAGGUACCCUAUGAAUAAGGACCGGCUAAUUCCGUGCCAGCAGCCGCGGUAAUACGGAAGGUCCGGGCGUUAUCCGGAUUUAUUGGGUUUAAAGGGAGCGUAGGCCGGAGAAUAAGCGUGUUGUGAAAUGUCGGGGCUCAACCUGGGCAUUGCAGCGCGAACUGUG
RNAcentral lists this ribosomal RNA (545 nucleotides) under uncultured Bacteroidota bacterium. RNAcentral describes it as "bacterial SSU rRNA". It matches the Rfam family "Bacterial small subunit ribosomal RNA", at positions 94 to 637 of the family's 1533-position model. The record is from RNAcentral. Lineage: Bacteria; Pseudomonadati; Bacteroidota.